CAGAGAAUAGUUUAAUUAAAAUUCUGACUUUGGGAGUCAGGGAUAAGGGUUAAAGUCCCUUUUUUCUGA
This 69-nucleotide transfer RNA is filed under the name Nothobranchius nubaensis. RNAcentral describes it as "tRNA-Pro". It matches the Rfam family "tRNA". From Rfam's summary of the family: Transfer RNA (tRNA) molecules are approximately 80 nucleotides in length. Their secondary structure includes four short double-helical elements and three loops (D, anti-codon, and T loops). The record is from RNAcentral. Lineage: Eukaryota; Metazoa; Chordata; Actinopteri; Cyprinodontiformes; Nothobranchiidae.